UCUUUCUAAACACAUCAACACCCUCUUCUCCCUAAAUCCAAAUUCGAGGUAUCCAUGUGUAGUUUUUACUUGUGGUGAUGCGGAGCCGCUCAUGCCGUUACACCCUCUCAGGGUUGUUUCAGUGGUUCUCUGAAACUCCUUCCUGUUUUGAAGGUUUGGCUCCUUCUACUAUGGCAAUUUGGUUCUGGUGACGAUUGGUCUG
Molecule: long non-coding RNA, 202 nt
Filed under: Lathyrus oleraceus (garden pea)
Lineage: Eukaryota; Viridiplantae; Streptophyta; Magnoliopsida; Fabales; Fabaceae
Description: Pisum sativum (pea) long non-coding RNA (PSAT_LNC034228)
Source: RNAcentral